This is a long non-coding RNA of Canis lupus familiaris (dog), 1739 nucleotides long. RefSeq lists it as uncharacterized. The transcript has 3 exons. NCBI's taxonomy places the organism in Eukaryota, Metazoa, Chordata, Mammalia, Carnivora, Canidae. The record is from RefSeq and is a predicted model, not a curated record.
AGGGGUUAAGACGGAGCACCCCCAAGAAGGAAUCACCACGUGGGCAUGCAGUGACCCCGACGCCAAGUAUCUGCCCGGCUCCGUGCAUCUGGGGCUGCACGGGGCUGUGCAGGCAGGUGGUGGUCCCGGCAGACCCUGGGCCGCCCGCUGGGAGCUCAGCUCCACAUGUGUCCUGAGGGCAACUUCCCGCUAGAGGUGUUCUCAUUUGUCUGAGAGCGGACGUGUGCUCCCGCGCCGUGUAACAUACGUGCCCACUGCCCCAUGAGGUCUGCCUUCAUGGAUUCAAACCAACAGAUAGGAUGGGGAUGGAACUGGGCACAGUUUCAGGAGUGAGAAGCAGAUGGGACCCGCGGCCACCGCCUGCCCACCCUGAGGUCUGCAGAGGGUGCAGCGCGCGACCUGACCCAAGGGCACUGACACACGCUGCCAGGAUACUUCCAGGAUUGGGACUGCGUCCCCAUAUACGAAGUUGAAGGCUAAGCUAAGCAUCAUCAAUAUGGCUGGAAAGGAGGCCCUGAGCAGUCUCAGUUUACCCAGGGAAUCCGAAGCAGGAUGUCUCCUGUGUGUUUCACACGGGCCGCCGUCACCGCCUAUGGACCCUGGGGGAGACGAAGGUUCUGUCGAUUAACACGAAAUUACCACGAAGCCUACUGAUAACCUACAGCAAAAGUCGGCUGCUCAGAUCAGGAUACCCUAAUGCCUUUACUGAAAUAUUCUGAAUUUAGCGAAGAUGUAUCUCCAUGUCCCUGGUUUAUCGCUUUCUUCAUUUUAAUUGUUGAUCCUUUCGAGAACCUGAUGAACCUACAGAUCUUUCAGAAAUUGGGCACCUUUUUGUUGUUGUUGUUGGGGGUGGGUUGUUUGACACAGGAGCGGACUAUGGGAUACACUGUGUUCAUUUAUGGGAACAAGUAAGAUAAUGUUGUGCCCAAGACUGCGAAUCCCAGAAACCAACCGAGGAGCCGACACCGAUGCAAACACACGAGGGUUUUUUUACAAGCUCGAGCUUGUGUCCAAGUAUACCCGACACAGCGGAGCAGGGACUUGGACCCCGAGAGUUUCUGAGAUUAACCCCCCAGGCUUUAAAGGCAAGUUGUUCUAGAGACUCCCUGAAGUGAAGAACUGCAUUUGUCCUUGGAGCUCUGGAGAAAUGCCUCAGAUCUGGCCGCCCUGGGCCCCCACGGCAGGUGGCAGGAUGGAAGCAAAACUCUGGAUCGCUCUGCUGCAUCAUUUAGGACUUGGAGUCAUUCGUGCGUCCAUCUGUUCCCUCAUCCACUCAUUCCAUGAACUUCGGUGACCAUGACCUCCUGGGCCAAGCCCUCCCCACCCCCCUCCAAAAAGGUGCCGAAGGCCUGAGGCCUCCAGGAGUUCCCAUCUCCCAUCUCCUGGGUUCCCAGGAGCUACUAGCAGCUGUAACAAAGAAGGGAUCUGAUAAACGAAUUCAUGAUGAGGUGUUAAUUACUGAUAAGUACUUAAUGUGUUACUCCUCUUAAGAUUUUUGCAUUUUAAUAGGACCAAUUCCUUAACUGAAAGGAGUGAAUUUCUAAUGUUGGUCGCUCCAGGGUGUUAAAAAUGAAAUUUAGGGGGAAUUUCCAGCAUAAUCCAAGAAGCAUUUCCAGCACUUACUCUGUACAUGAUUAAGACUGGAUCUCUUUUAUAUACAUUUGUAAUAGAUGAAAAAUAAACCAGAUUGCAAAUCCUUUUUUUUUUUUUUUUUUUAGCUUAAACCAUGUACCAAGUUU